Molecule: ribosomal RNA, 618 nt
Filed under: Deferribacter sp. MN5-1n-2
Lineage: Bacteria; Pseudomonadati; Deferribacterota; Deferribacteres; Deferribacterales; Deferribacteraceae
Description: bacterial SSU rRNA
Rfam family: Bacterial small subunit ribosomal RNA
Source: RNAcentral
CUCUUCGGAUGGUGAGUACACCGGCGGACGGGUGAGUAACGCGUGAGGAACCUACCCUGCAGACCGGGAUAACCCAUCGAAAGGUGGGCUAAUACUGGAUAAGCGCACGUGCUUCAUGGCAUGUGUGAAAAGGCAGGCGUAAGCUUGUGCUGCGGGAUGGUCUCGCGUCCCAUUAGCUAGUUGGUGAGGUAAUGGCUCACCAAGGCGACGAUGGGUAGCCGGCCUGAGAGGGUGGCCGGCCACACUGGGACUGAGACACGGCCCAGACUCCUACGGGAGGCAGCAGUGGGGAAUAUUGCGCAAUGCCGGAAACGGUGACGCAGCGACGCCGCGUGGGUGAGGAAGGCCUUCGGGUCGUAAAGCCCUUUCAGUGGGGAAGAAGGACUUAGGUAGUAACUGGCCUAAGUUUGACGGUACCCACAGAAGAAGCCCCGGCUAACUCCGUGCCAGCAGCCGCGGUAAUACGGAGGGGGCGAGCGUUGUUCGGAGUCACUGGGCGUAAAGCGCACGUAGGCGGCCUUGUAAGUCUGGGGUCAAAGGCUACGGCUCAACCGUAGUAAGGCCUCAGAUACUAUGGGGCUAGAGUGCCGGAGAGGGUAGCGGAAUUCCCUGUGUAGC